GAGCGCAUAACCGAAAAGCUAAGCCAAAUGCCCGAAGUGUUUGCACAAAAUGAUCUCGACUUUGGAAAGACGGGUCAAGUGAAACACACAAUCAGAUUGUCAGAUGAAACACCGUUCAAGCAUAGAGCACGUCCCAUACAUCCGAACGACCUGGAAGCAGUCCGUAAGCACCUCAAAGAACUGCAAGAAGCUGGCGUGAUCAGGGAAUCUACCUCCCCUUUCUCUUCACCCAUUGUAGUCGUGCGGAAGAAAAAUGGUGAAGUCCGCCUCUGUAUCGACUACAGAAAGCUUAACGCGCAGACUAUAAAAGAUGCUUACGCUCUCCCCAAUUUGGAGGAAACGUUUUCCACCUUGAUCGGGUCGCAAUGGUUCUCUGUCCUGGAUUUAAAAUCGGGGUACUACCAAAUUGAGAUGGAGGAGCUGGACAAACCCAAGACGGCGUUCGUAUGUCCCAUCGGCUUUUGGGAAUUUAAUAGAAUGCCCCAAGGCAUUACAAACGCCCCCAGCACGUUCCAGCGACUCAUGGAGAAAUGUAUGGGCGACAUGAACCUGCGUGAAGUGAUCGUGUUUCUUGAUGACAUCAUUGUAUUCUCCAAGACACUUGAAGAACAUGAGGCUCGCUUAAUGAAAGUUCUUGAUCGCCUGAAAGAAUAUGGGCUCAAACUCUCCCCCGAGAAAUGCAAGUUUUUCCAAACUUCUGUCAGAUAUCUUGGGCAUAUUGUGUCCAGCAAGGGAGUGGAGACUGACCCUGAAAAGGUGGAAGGCUUAAGUACCUGGCCUGUGCCCCGUGAUCUUAAACAGCUCCGCUCAUUCUUAGGCUUUUCAGGGUACUACAGGCGGUUCAUUAAGAACUAUUCGAGUAUCGUUAAGCCCCUCACUGACUUGACAUCAGGCUACCCUCCUUUGCGCAAAAGCACAAAGCCUAAAGCCAAGUCUGUAAAGUACCAUGACCCCAAGACACCUUUCGGCGAGCAAUGGACUCCCUCUUGUGAUCUUGCUUUCAAAACCAUCAUUGAAAAGCUCAGUACUGCGCCUGUAUUGGGUUUUGCUGACCCUAAACUGCCAUAUACACUCCAUACCGACGCCAGCACUACAGGGCUUGGCGCCGCGCUCUAUCAAGAGCAGAAUGGCCAGACCAGGGUGAUAGCUUAUGCAAGUCAUGGGUUGUCUAGGAGUGAAUCUCGUUAUCCCGCCCAUAAGUUAGAGUUCUUAGCCUUGAAGUGGGCAGUGACGGAAAAGUUUGCAGAUUACUUAUAUGGAAAUCAGUUUACUGUCGUAACAGACAGUAAUCCUCUGACGUACAUAUUAACUACUGCUAAGAUGGAUGCCAUGAGUUACAGAUGGCUAGCUGCCCUGUCAGCUCUGUACUGGAGCUUCAAGCUCCAGUACAGAGCAGGCAAGCUUAACUCAGAUGCAGAUGGCCUUUCUAGACGACCACAUGGCGAGUUGCUUAACAACGCAGUGUCCCAAAAAGAGUUCGACCGCAUAAAGCAGUUCACACAGACUCACCUGUCCCUACCUGACAGCAGUUUAAGUCCUGAAGUAGUGUCUGCUAUUUGUGAGAAACACCUUGUAUUCAGCUCUCAAAAUGACACCAUCCCUUUGGUUCACUCGCUAGCCAUUUCUGCAGCUGCCAUUCCAGGUGACUUUGUCAAUGAAAAUGACUGUGGUGGUCUUCCUGUUAUACCCCAUAUGUCCCCUGAACAGAUCACAAACGAACAAAGAACAGACCCUUGUCUGAGGGAAGUCAUUGCACAAAUUGAAACUGGAGAGAAGGUCCCACCAACUGUGCGAGCUGAACUUCCUGACAUCAACUUUCUACUCCGAGAGCUCAAUCGAUUGGCGAGUUCGGUACAUCCUGUACCGAACUCGCCAAGAUGGAGGAGAUGUUACUUACCAGCUUGUCUUACCUGAACAGCUCCGUGACUCAGUCUUCCAAAGCCUCCACUGUGACAUGGGCCACUUAGGCACUGAGCGUACCUUAGAUCUUGCCCGAACAAGGUUCUAUUGGCCUCGCAUGGCAGCAUAUACAGAACAUAGGAUCAAAACAUGUAAACGCUGUGUGAGACGUAAAACUCCUCCAGAAAAAGCAGCUCCACUUGUGAAUAUCAAAUCCAGCAGACCCCUCGAAUUAGUCUGCAUGGACUUCCUGUCCAUUGAGCCUGAUCUAAGUAAUGUAAAGGAUGUGCUUGUAUUAACCGAUCAUUUCACGAAAUAUUCAUUAGCCAUCCCUACCAGCAAUCAGAAAGCUCAGACCGUUGCAAAAGCCCUUUGGGACAACUUCAUAGUCCACUACGGGAUACCCGAACGAUUGCAUAGCGAUCAAGGUCCCGACUUCGAGUCCCACAUUAUCCAAGAGCUUUGCAAGAUCAUGGGCAUUCGCAAAAUCCGGACAACACCCUAUCACCCCAGAGGGAACCCGGUAGAACGUUUCAAUAGAACGUUACUAAGUAUGCUAGGUACUCUUGAGGAAAGGGACAAAACUCAGUGGCACAACUAUGUCAAACCACUCGUUCAUGCGUACAAUUGUACGAAAAAUGAUACAACUGGUUUUGCCCCAUAUGAGUUCAUGUUUGGCCGUCAGCCAAGAUUACCAGUCGAUCUAGCAUUUGGGCUGCCCUUUAACAAUAAAAGUUUCAAGUCGCAUUCUCAGUACAUAACAAAACUAAAGGCAAUUCUACAAGAGACCUACAAACUAGCAACAGACCAUGCUAACAAAAUAGCAGAAAGAAACAAAACAAGGUUUGAUAUGCAAGUGAAACCCUCAAAACUAGAGCCAGGUGACAGAGUUUUGGUGCGUGCAGUCCGUCUCAGAGGCAAGCACAAGCUAGCCGACAAGUGGGAGACUGAUAUUCACAUUGUGGUGAACCAAGCAGGUGACUUGCCCGUCUACAGUAUAAAACCCCUAACGAAAGAGGGCCCAGUCCGCACAGUCCACCGCGAUCUUUUGCUCCUUUGUGGUUUUCUUGCCCCUGUUGAGGAGAAACCUGUCCAACCAACUCAUGUACGCAAACCAAAAACAAGGCAAUCACCUAAACAACAUGAGGAAUGUGAUCAUUCGGAACUGGAGGAUGAGGAUGUCUGUUGGUUCAGAGAGGAACCUAUUCAAGAGCCCAUAAAGGUCACUCGAGUCUAUGAGAUUCCCCAGCCAAAGACACACCCUAAUGAUCACAACCAUGCUGAAACUAACUUGCCUAGAGGAGACAACUUACAUGAACAUGACAACUUGCCUGGACGUGACAACUUACAUGAACAUGACAACACACCUGGACGUGACAACUUACCUGAACAUGACAACUUGUCUGGAGGUGACAAUUUAACCGGAUGUGACAACUUACCUGAAUGUGGAAAUCCACUUGGAUGUGGAAGCCUAGAGGAGAGUGAAACCAUGGAACACUCAAACACUCAAACACUGACAAUGAAAGCGAGAGUGACACUAACUUACCCGAUGGACCUACCUGUGAUGGGCCAGUGGAAGAAGACAACUCAAAUGAUAAUCAAGCAAACUCAAGUCACUCAAAUACUGAGAGUGAAGCCGCAGUGGCUAUAAGGCGCUCAGAGAGAACAAGAACCCAACCAGAACGACUACAAUACAUUCAGUUGGGAAAUCCCCUCGUUUCCAUUGCCCAGUCCCUGUUUCAAGGUCUAAGCCUGGCUUUUACCAAUGCCUUGACAGAACAAGAUUCUGUGGUCAUCCCCAUGAAUGCUGGUUCCCCUGUCAUUACCGUUUAGCUAUUCCAUGCAAAGGGACUUGCAUGAUUUUAAGGGGGGAUAGUGUAACCCAGUGUUAAAAACGGGAUUAAAAGCAUAAAUAUGAAUACUCUUUUGAUUAAAAUACUAAUUUCAUAAUGGUAAUAAAUAUUGAUAAAAAGAACUUAAAUAUAAUAAAUACUGAUUAAAAGCAUGUAAACAUAAGUUUAAUUAAUAUGUACGUAUGUAUAUGUAAUAUAUAAAUGGUGUGGGGGCAGGACUUAGUUCUGUGGAGUGUGUUUGUUAGAUCCACUGAGCGACCAAUCAUUGGCCGGUCUGACCCUUCCCCCAGUCUGUGUGCGCUGCUCAGACACCUGUGUGUGCCUGCGUGUGCCAGUCAGAAACGCCAGAGACGCAGACGGUGAAAGGUCCGGUUACCCAUACGGUGAAGAAGCUAGCUGGAUAGUAAAAGUCCUGUUUUCGAGCAUUGAGCGAGAGGAGCCGAUCGAAGUCGACCCAGCCCCGACACAUUCUGGACAGGAAAAUGGACAUGCUGUUUCUAAAGAACAUUCAGUGCUGGUACAUGGAAAGAUCUCCCCACCCACUGACCCUCCACAUGAA
This is an RNA transcript of Oreochromis niloticus (Nile tilapia), 4311 nucleotides long. It is a transcript of the gene named smoothelin, like, with no coding region annotated. The record is from RefSeq and is a predicted model, not a curated record. Lineage: Eukaryota; Metazoa; Chordata; Actinopteri; Cichliformes; Cichlidae. The transcript has 3 exons.